ACAAGCGGAGGAGCAUGUGGUUAAUUCGAUGAUACGCGAGGAACUUACCUGGGCUCGAACGUAAGAUGACUGUAGGUGAAAGCUUACAUCUCUUCGGAGCAUUUUACGAGGUGCUGCAUGGUUGUCGUCAGCUCGUGCCGUGAGGUGUCGGGUUAAGUCCCAUAACGAGCGCAACCCCUACCUUUAGUUGCCAUCAGGUUAAGCUGGGGACUCUAAAGGAACUGCCUACGCAAGUAGUGAGGAAGGCGGGGAUGACGUCAAAUCAGCACGGCCCUUACGUCCAGGGCUACACACGUGCUACAAUGGCCGAUACAGAGGGCAGCUACCUGGUGACAGGAUGCAAAUCUCCAAAGUCGGUCUCAGUUCGGAUCGGAGUCUGCAACCCGACUCCGUGAAGUUGGAUUCGCUAGUAAUCGCGCAUCAGCCAUGGCGCGGUGAAUACGUUCCCGGGCCUU
Molecule: ribosomal RNA, 455 nt
Filed under: uncultured Sphingobacteriales bacterium
Lineage: Bacteria; Pseudomonadati; Bacteroidota; Sphingobacteriia; Sphingobacteriales
Description: bacterial SSU rRNA
Rfam family: Bacterial small subunit ribosomal RNA
Source: RNAcentral